Molecule: ribosomal RNA, 482 nt
Filed under: uncultured bacterium
Lineage: Bacteria
Description: partial 16S ribosomal RNA
Rfam family: Bacterial small subunit ribosomal RNA
Source: RNAcentral
AUUGAACGCUGGCGGCAUGAUUUACACAUGCAAGUCGAACGGUAACAGGCCGCAAGGUGCUGACGAGUGGCGAACGGGUGAGUAAUGCAUCGGAACGUGCCCAGCCGUGGGGGAUAAUUACUCGAAAGAGUAGCUAAUACCGCAUCCGAUCUAUGGUUGAAAGCGGGGGACCGUAAGGCCCCGCGCGAUUGGAGCGGCCGAUGUCAGAUUAGGUAGUUGGUGGGGUAAAGGCUCACCAAGCCAACGAUCUGUAGCUGGUCUGAGAGGACGACCAGCCACACUGGGACUGAGACACGGCCCAGACUCCUACGGGAGGCAGCAGUGGGGAAUUUUGGACAAUGGGCGCAAGCCUGAUCCAGCAAUGCCGCGUGCAGGAAGAAGGCCUUCGGGUUGUAAACUGCUUUUGUACGGAACGAAACGGCUCUGGUUAAUACCCGGGGCUAAUGACGGUACCGUAAGAAUAAGCACCGGCUAACUACGUG